This 253-nucleotide ribosomal RNA is filed under the name uncultured bacterium. RNAcentral describes it as "partial 16S ribosomal RNA". It matches the Rfam family "Archaeal small subunit ribosomal RNA", at positions 474 to 727 of the family's 1478-position model. The record is from RNAcentral.
UACCAGCACCCCGAGUGGUCGGGACGAUUAUUGGGCCUAAAGCAUCCGUAGCCGGUUUUACAAGUCCCCCGUUAAAUCCAGCUGCUUAACAGAUGGGCUGCGGAGGAUACUAUAAGACUAGGAGGCAGGAGAGGCAAGCGGUACUCAGUGGGUAGGGGUAAAAUCCGUUGAUCCAUUGAAGACCACCAGUGGCGAAGGCGGCUUGCCAGAACGCGCUCGACGGUGAGGGAUGAAAGCUGGGGGAGCAAACCGG